This 93-nucleotide transfer RNA is filed under the name Pasteurella bettyae. Its description in RNAcentral is "tRNA-Ser(gct)". It matches the Rfam family "tRNA". Rfam says of the family: Transfer RNA (tRNA) molecules are approximately 80 nucleotides in length. Their secondary structure includes four short double-helical elements and three loops (D, anti-codon, and T loops). The record is from RNAcentral. RNAcentral also lists the same sequence under 5 other names. Lineage: Bacteria; Pseudomonadati; Pseudomonadota; Gammaproteobacteria; Pasteurellales; Pasteurellaceae.
GGUGAGAUGGCCGAGAGGCUGAAGGCGCUCCCCUGCUAAGGGAGUAUGUGGUCAAAAACUGCAUCGAGGGUUCGAAUCCCUCUCUCACCGCCA